GAUCCGGAACUUUGGGAUGAGGAUUGGCUCUAAGGGCUGGGUUGGGGUGCAAAGGUCAGGAUGCGAAGUGGGGCUGGGCUCAAGCUGCAGCUGGGGGAGCAGUCGCCACCGUUGGAAGUUCGUUGUGCGGCCCAUCUCACGGUCUCUCGUGCGUGGUCUCGCAAUGAGCUGCGUGCCAGUGUUUGUCCAAGUCGUGUCUGGCGGGCCGGUGGAGGGUUGGGUCCGGCGGUUGGCGGCCGCAACUCUGGACGCGCACCAGGCCCUUCUUGCGGAUCUCCCCAGCUAUGGCGCUCGCCCGCCCUGUUUGCGCGGGGUCACUUUGGACGGCACCUACAGCUGACUUCGAACUGGUAGGAUCAGGGGAAUCCGACUGUUUAAUUAAAACAAAGCAUCGUGAAGCCCCAAUGUGGGUGUUGACGCGAUGUGAUUUCUGCCCAUUGCUUUGAAUGUCAAAGUGAAAAAAUUAAAUGAAGCGCGGGUAAACUGCAGGAGAAACUAUGACCUUAAGGAGUCCUUUGCCCAGGACAUUGGUGAUCCAUGCUUCGCGAAUUAGUGCAAAGUCGAAUAC
Molecule: non-coding RNA, 568 nt
Filed under: Salmo salar (Atlantic salmon)
Lineage: Eukaryota; Metazoa; Chordata; Actinopteri; Salmoniformes; Salmonidae
Description: Eukaryotic large subunit ribosomal RNA
Rfam family: Eukaryotic large subunit ribosomal RNA
Source: Rfam by way of RNAcentral